UGUGUUUCACCAAACCCUGUGCAGACUGAUCAACUUGGGAAACUCAGCAACCAUUCUUGAUGGGUUGUGAUGUGGACACGUCUAUACGAGUGAUCUUGAAUAAUUACACAAAUGGCCCUGAGAGACCUUUCACCUAUGAGCGCUACGUGUUUUCCUGCCCGAUGUUUUGGCAUGAUGGGAAUCGUGAGAUCCGUUUGACAGAUCGCGGAUGUUAUUUCUACUACAAUACUCACCAUGGUGAUGACGCGCAUACGGAUGCAGAGGGAUGAAUGAACAAGAAAUCCUAUUGGACACGAGCUUGAUACUGACGCACUGAUAGUGCGCGCAAUGACUCUGUUCAUAUGUCCGAUUUAGGGCUCAUUGGGUGAGAUAAUUCACACCGGGUGAUCGGUUUUACACGGGAAGUAUAGUAUCGGAGAGUCUUUUUUUGUCCAUAAGGGUUUUCACUGGGGUGAUCAUGAGGCAGAUAACUGACAUGCUUGUCACACGGAUACGACGGAUGACGCCACACAACAGCGGUAAGCUAGCUCGGACCUAAUUUUUAAUGUUUAAUCUAAACAUUAGCGUCUUAGUCUUUUAAAGGAUGUGCACUUUAUUUGUAUUUCAUCAAUAUUUUACUACACCUUUUAUGAUGGGUAUGUUUGAUCACUGUUGUAUAAACACUUGUCCUCCUUGCAACCUUGUAUCGGAUGGAUAUUCCAGCAGAUAUUGAAACAAUUUUAGCUUUGACACUUUUUAGCAUGUAGUGUUCACUUACUGAAUGGAUAUGUAUGUUACAAUUGUUCAUUGAUUGAUCUUUGGGGUUUUUUUGGUAGGGGAGUAUUCUGUCAGUACUUUUAUAGAUAUACACGUCAGAGUGGGAGGGUUUGUAACAUUUUCGCGCCACUGGUGGGGUAUUUAUAGGCAAAUGUUUUAACAUUUUGUUACUUUGACAAAGGCUGGUGUGACAGCCGAAACGUUAGUGUGAUUUAAUAAAUUCACCAUUUCUUUAUAA
This is a long non-coding RNA of Xenopus laevis (African clawed frog), 994 nucleotides long. RefSeq lists it as uncharacterized. The record is from RefSeq and is a predicted model, not a curated record. Lineage: Eukaryota; Metazoa; Chordata; Amphibia; Anura; Pipidae. The transcript has 2 exons.